GAUGAACGCUAGCGAUAGGCCUAACACAUGCAAGUCGAGGGGCAUCACAUGAAGUAGCAAUACGGAUGGUGGCGACCGGCGCACGGGUGAGUAACACGUAUGCAACCUGCCUUCAACAAGGGGAUAACCCGUUGAAAGACGGACUAAUACCCUAUAACACAGGGGUCCCGCAUGGGAAUAUUUGUUAAAGGACAACCGGUUGAAGAUGGGCAUGCGUUCCAUUAGCUAGUUGGCGGGGUAACGGCCCACCAAGGCAACGAUGGAUAGGGGAACUGAGAGGUUUAUCCCCCACACUGGUACUGAGACACGGACCAGACUCCUACGGGAGGCAGCAGUGAGGAAUAUUGGUCAAUGGACGCAAGUCUGAACCAGCCACGUCGCGUGAAGGAAGACGGCCCUACGGGUUGUAAACUUCUUUUGUAAGGGAAUAAAGUGUAGUACGCGUACUAUUUUGCAUGUACCUUACGAAUAAGGAUCGCUAACCCGUGCCAGCAGCCGCGGUAAAUACG
Molecule: ribosomal RNA, 509 nt
Filed under: uncultured bacterium
Lineage: Bacteria
Description: bacterial SSU rRNA
Rfam family: Bacterial small subunit ribosomal RNA
Source: RNAcentral